RNAcentral lists this unclassified non-coding RNA (156 nucleotides) under uncultured Pleosporales. RNAcentral's name for it is "sequence contains ITS2". RNAcentral also lists the same sequence under 3 other names. Lineage: Eukaryota; Fungi; Ascomycota; Dothideomycetes; Pleosporales. The record is from RNAcentral.
ACACCCUCAAGCUCUGCUUGGUGUUGGGCGUCUGUCCCCGCCUCCGCGCGCGGACUCGCCUCAAAGCGAUUGGCGGCUGGUACCACGGCCUGGAGUGCAGCAGAAUUGCGCUCCUUGUCUCGGGGUCUGGCUCCCAUAAGCGAACUUUUUUCACUU